AACGAACGCUGGCGGCGCGUUUUAAGCAUGCAAGUCGGACGGUAGGCGAGUGGCAACACUUGCUGAGAGUGGCGAACGGGUGAGUAAUAUAUCGGAACGUGCCCAGUCGUGGGGGGAUAACGUAGCGAAAGCUACGCUAAUACCGCAUACGAUCUAUGGAUGAAAGCGGGGGAUCGCAAGACCUCGCGCGAUUGGAGCGGCCGAUAUCAGAUUAGGUUGUUGGUGGGGUAAAAGCCCACCAAGCCGACGAUCUGUAGCUGGUCUGAGAGGACGACCAGCCACACUGGGACUGAGACACGGCCCAGACUCCUACGGGAGGCUG
This 322-nucleotide ribosomal RNA is filed under the name uncultured Pseudomonadota bacterium. Its description in RNAcentral is "bacterial SSU rRNA". It matches the Rfam family "Bacterial small subunit ribosomal RNA", at positions 29 to 351 of the family's 1533-position model. The record is from RNAcentral. Lineage: Bacteria; Pseudomonadati; Pseudomonadota.